AGCGAACAUUGGCGGUAGGCUUAACACAUGCAAGUCGAGCGAGGCGUAAUAGUCGAGCGGCGAACGGGUGAGUAACACAUGGGAAUCUACCCUGAAGUGGGGGAUAACGUUCAGAAAUAAACGCUAAUACCGCAUAAUCCACAAUGGGAAAGCGUUGCAGCGCUUUAGGAUGAGCCCAUGGCUGAUUAGCUAGUUGGUGAGGUAAUGGCUCACCAAGGCGACGAUCAGUAGCUGGUCCGAGAGGAUGAUCAGCCACACUGGAACUGAGACACGGUCCAGACCCCUACGGGAGGCAGCAGUGGGGAAUCUUGCGCAAUGGGGGCAACCCUGACGCAGCCAUACCGCGUGAGUGAUGAAGGUCUUCGGAUUGUAAAGCUCUUUCGGCGGGGACGACGAUGACGGUACCCGCAAAAGAAGUCACGGCUAACUUCGUGCCAGCCGCCGCGGUAA
RNAcentral lists this ribosomal RNA (450 nucleotides) under uncultured bacterium. Its description in RNAcentral is "partial 16S ribosomal RNA". It matches the Rfam family "Bacterial small subunit ribosomal RNA", at positions 29 to 523 of the family's 1533-position model. The record is from RNAcentral.